AAUUGUAAAUACGUUGUUUGACAAUGGCGCACUCGGACGUAAAACGAAACAAGGAUUUUACAAAAAGGAUAAAGAAACUAAAGCUCGACUUGUUUACGAUGUUGAAAAACAAGAUUAUGUACCUGUAUCGCAACCACAAUUACCAAUUUUAAAUGAAUUUAAUAAAGACUUAGUGCAUAACCUUGAUACCAUAUUCAAUGCGCAAGACGAAGCGGGACUAUUUUUAU
Molecule: small RNA, 227 nt
Filed under: Staphylococcus aureus
Lineage: Bacteria; Bacillati; Bacillota; Bacilli; Caryophanales; Staphylococcaceae
Description: HMPRFS0000_0251
Source: RNAcentral